AGUACGUUUAUCUUUGGCGUUUUGCUCCUUAUCGCGUUUUGGCCUCUAAAGUGUCAUUUAACGGGGUAGUUUAUAAUAAACAUAUAAAAAAUUAUUGACUGAUAAUAAUCGUGAUGAUGAAUUAUUAAAAUAAUUAAAAAAAAACUUAUAAUAAUUAAAAUUAAUUAUUAAUUCAAAUCAUAAUAAUUUCAAUUAACCAUGAGUUUAAUAAUUAAUACAUAAAUAAUAUACUAAAGUAGUAUAUAUGGACUUUAUUGUCGAUAAGUAAUACGUGAAGUUAUUUAUUAAAACAUUUCUUAAUGCCAAUGAAGCUAAUGGAAAAGUAAAGUACGAAGCACAUUCUUCGUUUGAAUUACCAAUAAAAAUACUGAUGACGAUUAUUUUUCGUGAUUUUUCAACGCAGUAAUGAACUCUACUGCUGUUAGCUUUUGAAAAAAAAAAUCAACUCAUGCAGAGGGACUGUUGAAGAUAGACAGAAGAAGAGAAAAAAAAGAGCGAUAGCUAUUUGUGAGAGGGCAUACGAUUGGCCUUUGGAUUUACUGAUGUGGUCGUCUUGAUGUAAAUCAUUCAAAGAAAAAGGUGCUCGGCGGACUUCACCACGACUCGUCAGACUGACCGCAACGAGUCCAGGUGUCAUUCCGUGCAGUGAGGCCCAGUCGCGAGCAAUCCCACGUCUAAUAGGGCCUCGCCAGCACUCUCGGCCACCUCCACACCCUCCACCC
Microplitis demolitor is the source of this 722-nucleotide long non-coding RNA. RefSeq lists it as uncharacterized. The transcript has 3 exons. Lineage: Eukaryota; Metazoa; Arthropoda; Insecta; Hymenoptera; Braconidae. The record is from RefSeq and is a predicted model, not a curated record.